Molecule: ribosomal RNA, 440 nt
Filed under: uncultured bacterium
Lineage: Bacteria
Description: partial 16S ribosomal RNA
Rfam family: Bacterial small subunit ribosomal RNA
Source: RNAcentral
CCUACGGGAGGCAGCAGUGGGGAAUAUUGCACAAUGGAGGGAACUCUGAUGCAGCGACGCCGCGUGAGUGAAGAAGUAAUUCGUUAUGUAAAGCUCUAUCAGCAGGGAAGAAAGUGACGGUACCUGAAAAAGAAGCCCCGGCUAAAUACGUGCCAGCAGCCGCGGUAAUACGUAGGGAGCAAGCGUUAUCCGGAUUUACUGGGUGUAAAGGGAGCGUAGACGGCAAGGCAAGCCAGAAGUGAAAGGGCAGGGCUCAACCCUGUACAUGCUUUUGGAACUGUGGUGCUAGAGUGCAGGAGAGGUAAGUGGAAUUCCUAGUGUAGCGGUGAAAUGCGUAGAUAUUAGGAGGAACACCAGUGGCGAAGGCGGCUUACUGGACUGUAACUGACGUUGAGGCUCGAAAGCGUGGGGAGCAAACAGGAUUAGAUACCCCUGUAGUC